RNAcentral lists this ribosomal RNA (599 nucleotides) under bacterium enrichment culture clone T47x_A6_T3_F01. RNAcentral describes it as "bacterial SSU rRNA". It matches the Rfam family "Bacterial small subunit ribosomal RNA", at positions 36 to 670 of the family's 1533-position model. The record is from RNAcentral.
CUGGCGGCAUGCUUAACACAUGCAAGUCGAACGAAGUCUUUCGAGACUUAGUGGCGGACGGGUGCGUAACGCGUAAGAACCUACCCUUGGGAGGGGGAUAACUAUCGGAAACGAUAGCUAAUACCCCAUAUGCUGAGGAGUGAAAGGGAGUGUAAACUCUCGCCUAGGGAUGGGCUUGCGUCUGAUUAGCUAGUUGGUGGGGUAAUAGCCUACCAAGGCCACGAUCAGUAGCUGGUCUGAGAGGAUGAUCAGCCACACUGGGACUGAGACACGGCCCAGACUCCUACGGGAGGCAGCAGUGAGGAAUUUUCCGCAAUGGGCGAAAGCCUGACGGAGCAAUGCCGCGUGGAGGAUUACAGCCCAUGGGUUUUAAACUCCUUUUCUCGGAGAAGAAGCAGUGACGGUAUCCGAGGAAUAAGCAUCGGCAAACUCCGUGCCAGCAGCCGCGGUAAUACGGGGGAUGCAAGCGUUAUCCGGAAUGAUUGGGCGUAAAGCGUCUGUAGGUGGUAGUUGAAGUCUGCUGUUCAAGACCAGGGCUUANNCCUGGACCGGCAGUGGAAACUCAGCUGCUUGAGUGCGGUAGGGGCAGAGGGAGUUCC